This 253-nucleotide ribosomal RNA is filed under the name uncultured bacterium. Its description in RNAcentral is "partial 16S ribosomal RNA". It matches the Rfam family "Bacterial small subunit ribosomal RNA", at positions 524 to 776 of the family's 1533-position model. The record is from RNAcentral.
UACGGAGGGUGCAAGCGUUGUCCGGAAUCACUGGGCGUAAAGGGCGCGUAGGCGGCCUGGUAAGUAGGGGGUGAAAUCCUGCGGCUUAACCGCAGGGCUGCCUUCUAAACUGUCAGGCUUGAGCACGGUAGAGGCAGAUGGAAUUCCCGGUGUAGCGGUGGAAUGCGUAGAGAUCGGGAAGAACAUCAGUGGCGAAGGCGGUCUGCUGGGCCGUUGCUGACGCUGAUGCGCGAAAGCGUGGGGAGCGAUCCGG